CCUGAUGCUANCGGGUUGAUACUAAGCCUGCGAGUCAUUGCAGUAAUGCAAGGCAGACGGCUCAGUAACACGUAGUCAAUCUACCCUAUGGACGGGGAUAACCUCGGGAAACUGAGAAUAAUACCCGAUAGAUCAUUAUGCCUGGAAUGGUUUAUGGUCAAAAUGAUUUAUCGCCAUAGGAUGGGACUGCGGUCUAUCAGCUUGUUGGUGAGGUAAUGGCCCACCAAGGCUAUNACAGAUACGGGCUCUGAGAGGAGAAGCCCGGAGAUGGGUACUGAGACACGGACCCAGGUCCUAUGGGGCGCAGCAGGCGAGAAAACUUUGCAAUGUGCGAAAGCACGACAAGGUUAAUCCGAGUGUUCUCUGCUAAAGAGAUCUUUUGCCGGUCCUAAAAGCACCGGUGAAUAAGGGGUGGGCAAGUUCUGGUGUCAGCCGCCGCGGUAAAACCAGCACCUCAAGUGGUCAGGAGGAUUAUUGGGCCUAAAGCAUCCGUAGCCGGCUGUGUAAGUUCUCGGUUAAAUCUAUGUGCUCAACACAUAGGCUGCCGGGAAUACUGUACAGCUAGGGAGUGGGAGAGGUAGACGGUACUUGGUAGGAAGGGGUAAAAUCCUUUGAUCUAUUGAUGACCACCUGUGGCGAAGGCGGUCUACUAGAACACGUCCGACGGUGAGGGAUGAAAGCUGGGGGAGCAAACCGGAUUAGAUACCCGGGUAGUCCAGCUGUAACAAUGCAACUCAGUGAUGCAUUGGCUUGUGGCCCNUGCANUGCCCCAGGNAACCNUUAAUUUNCCNCNNGGGAGUNCUUCCCCGUUUNAACUUAANGGANUGGCGGGGGGCCCCNAGGGGNGANCNNGGGUUAAUNGNUNCCCCCCCGGNA
This 876-nucleotide ribosomal RNA is filed under the name uncultured archaeon. RNAcentral describes it as "partial 16S ribosomal RNA". It matches the Rfam family "Archaeal small subunit ribosomal RNA", at positions 21 to 923 of the family's 1478-position model. The record is from RNAcentral.